CAUAGGUUAAUGAGGCGAACCGGGGGAACUGAAACAUCUAAGUACCCCGAGGAAAAGAAAUCAACCGAGAUUCCCCCAGUAGCGGCGAGCGAACGGGGAGGAGCCCAGAGCCUGAAUCAGCAUGUGUGUUAGUGGAAGCGUCUGGAAAGGCGCGCGAUACAGGGUGACAGCCCCGUACACAAAAGCGCAUGUGCUGUGAGCUCGAUGAGUAGGGCGGGACACGUGGUAUCCUGUCUGAAUAUGGGGGGACCAUCCUCCAAGGCUAAAUACUCCUGACUGACCGAUAGUGAACCAGUACCGUGAGGGAAAGGCGAAAAGAACCCCGGCGAGGGGAGUGAAAAAGAACCUGAAACCGUGUACGUACAAGCAGUGGGAGCACCCUUUGGGGUGUGACUGCGUACCUUUUGUAUAAUGGGUCAGCGACUUAUAUUCUGUAGCAAGGUUAACCGUAUAGGGGAGCCGGAGGGAAACCGAGUCUUAACCGGGCGUUAAGUUGCAGGGUAUAGACCCGAAACCCGGUGAUCUAGCCAUGGGCAGGUUGAAGGUUGGGUAACACUAACUGGAGGACCGAACCGACUAAUGUUGAAAAAUUAGCGGAUGACCUGUGGCUGGGGGUGAAAGGCCAAUCAAACCGGGAGAUAGCUGGUUCUCCCCGAAAGCUAUUUAGGUAGCGCCUCGUGAAUUCAUCUCCGGGGGUAGAGCACUGUUUCGGCUAGGGGGCCAUCCCGGCUUACCAACCCGAUGCAAACUGCGAAUACCGGAGAAUGUUAUCACGGGAGACACACGGCGGGUGCUAACGUCCGUCGUGAAGAGGGAAACAACCCAGACCGCCAGCUAAGGUCCCAAAGUCAUGGUUAAGUGGGAAACGAUGUGGGAAGGCCCAGACAGCCAGGAUGUUGGCUUAGAAGCAGCCAUCAUUUAAAGAAAGCGUAAUAGCUCACUGGUCGAGUCGGCCUGCGCGGAAGAUGUAACGGGGCUAAACCAUGCAC
RNAcentral lists this ribosomal RNA (989 nucleotides) under Salmonella enterica subsp. enterica serovar Oranienburg. RNAcentral describes it as "partial 23S ribosomal RNA". It matches the Rfam family "Bacterial large subunit ribosomal RNA", at positions 165 to 1194 of the family's 2925-position model. The record is from RNAcentral. Lineage: Bacteria; Pseudomonadati; Pseudomonadota; Gammaproteobacteria; Enterobacterales; Enterobacteriaceae.